CGAGCGAACAGACGAGGAGCUUGCUCCUCUGACGUUAGCGGCGGACGGGUGAGUAACACGUGGAUAACCUACCUAUAAGACUGGGAUAACUUCGGGAAACCGGAGCUAAUACCGGAUAAUAUAUUGAACCGCAUGGUUCAAUAGUGAAAGACGGUUUUGCUGUCACUUAUAGAUGGAUCCGCGCCGCAUUAGCUAGUUGGUAAGGUAACGGCUUACCAAGGCAACGAUGCGUAGCCGACCUGAGAGGGUGAUCGGCCACACUGGAACUGAGACACGGUCCAGACUCCUACGGGAGGCAGCAGUAGGGAAUCUUCCGCAAUGGGCGAAAGCCUGACGGAGCAACGCCGCGUGAGUGAUGAAGUUCUUCGGAUCGUAGAACUCUGUUAUUAGGGAAGAACAAAUGUGUAAGUAACUAUGCACGUCUUGACGGUACCUAAUCAGAAAGCCACGGCUAACUACGUGCCAGCAGCCGCGGUAAUACGUAGGUGGCAAGCGUUAUCCGGAAUUAUUGGGCGUAAAGCGCGCGUAGGCGGUUUUUUAAGUCUGAUGGAAAGCCCACGGCUCAACCGUGGAGGGUCAUUGGAAACUGGAAAACUUGAGUGCAGAAGAGGAAAGUGGAAUUCCAUGUGUAGCGGUGAAAUGCGCAGAGAUAUGGAGGAACACCAGUGGCGAAGGCGGCUUUCUGGUCUGUAACUGACGCUGAUGUGCGAAAGCGUGGGGAUCAAACAGGAUUA
RNAcentral lists this ribosomal RNA (734 nucleotides) under uncultured Staphylococcus sp. Its description in RNAcentral is "bacterial SSU rRNA". It matches the Rfam family "Bacterial small subunit ribosomal RNA", at positions 63 to 780 of the family's 1533-position model. Lineage: Bacteria; Bacillati; Bacillota; Bacilli; Caryophanales; Staphylococcaceae. The record is from RNAcentral.